UGAAGCAUCAACACGUACACAAAAUGGGUGUAGCGGAGAUGAGGAUGUUUCGUGGGAUGUAUGGGCACACGAGAAAGGAUAAGAUUGGGAAUGAGGAUAUCCGAGGUAAAGUAGGAGUAGCCAAAAUUGAAGGAAAUAUGAGAUAAAAUCGGUUCCGGUGGUUUGGACAUGUGCAAAGAAGGCCUACUGACGCUCCGGUUCGAAAAUGCGACUACGGGACAGAGGUUCAGGGCCGAAGGGGUAGAGGAAGACCUAGGAAAACUUUGGAAGAGACCCUAAGAAAAGACUUGAGUACUUGGAUCUAACGGAGGACAUGACACAAAACCGAGCGCAAUGGCGUUCUAGGAUUCAUAUAGCCGACCCCACUUAGUGGGAAAAGGAUUUGUUGUUGUUGUUGUUGUAAUGUUGAAUAUUUAAUAUAUAUAUAUAUAUAUGCGGCUGUUUACAGGGGAUGGGAAGUUGUGUUAUUAACCCAACAAUCACAUCUCUUCAAUUUGAAUGUUACAUCUUUUAAUUGUUGCCGAAAAGACAUGCUUCAUGGUCAACAAGUGUAAUCCUCCUAGGCAUGGUUAGGGUUAAGCCACUUAGCCAUGGAGGCAAGUGAAUGCGCAACAAGCAAUCUCUAAUCUUUGAACCGUUUGAGGGAGAAUACUUAUGAUAUGAUUAAUAAUCUCUGGCCAGAGUAUGAAUGAGAUUUAGGAAGUCGUUCCAAAUCAUAUUCAAGGUAGUCAUAUAAGUAAAUGAAUCACAUUGGAUAGUAGACAUGAAUAAACUAUCAAACCAAACAAUGUGGUCAAGAGUAUUGUAUUAGAGAAAGACCGUAUUGCAUUGUAAUCCUAAACUGAAUAGGUUCUCCACCUCUUCUGAUUAGCUUGGGUAGCCAUGACAUACUGCUAGGUGUCACUCAUGGUUUGUGGAAGCCAUAAAGGUGUAUAAUCACUAAAGGGAGAAUUGAAAAUAAGUUUUAAUUCACAAUCGAUUUGAAGAGUUCUAAUCGCCCACUACCUCGCUAAAAGGAACCUGGAUCGUACACCAUGUAUGGUAGAGAUUGAAGAAAUAAAGAGAUGGGUAAGGAUAAUUAAAUGGUUUAAUUAUUUGUGGCUAGGAUUAAUUAAUAUCUUAAUUAAUCAAACGAAUAAGUUUGUUAUAGACCUUGGGUUAGUUUUGGGCCCCAAGGCCCAAUGAUAUUUGAAUGUCAAGCCCAUUAACUCAAUUUGUAUGACAACUUGAAAACACAAAGGGCUUGAAAGCCCAAUGAACCCUUAAUGGCCGGCCAUAUAGAGUGGGGUAGUGAGCUUGGCUUAAUUGCAAGUUUGCCACUCCAUUGUGAGGUGAGUAAGGGCAACUUUAUAGCCAUUUCAUCCUAAAGGUUUCUUUUGGAGAAAAGAUGAGAACACAAGGCUCUCUUUUCUCUAAGAGGCUGGCCACCCUGGAGGAAAUUAGCUAGCAAUCGUACUUCGUCUAGGUCACUCAUCUCUUCAUCAAUGCUCUCCUUGGUGUGGAGACUUAGAGGUUCUCUAUUUUGGGAACUUGUAGAGAACCCAAUUCUUCCAUCCAUAUCCAAGAAGACAUGGAGCCAAGGAGCAAUGUUCCUCCAUCAAAAUCCAUGGAGCCAAGAAGGAAGGUGACAAAGGAAAGAAGGCCCUCACAUGGGUGAUUAACCUUUGCUAAGCAAAGAGGUGCUUCAAAGGUAUAAAGUUUCUCAACUCACUUUGUUUUGAGUUGAGUCUUGGUUCACCAUAACUACUAGGCCUUGAAUUUCAUGGGUUAAGUUUUCUUUUUGAGUGCAUACAAGCAUGAUUCUGCCUUUUAAUUGUUAAUAGCAUGCACAGAUGUUGCUCAAGUGAACUUGUUUUCACAAAUAUUUCCUUCAGUCUUUCUCUAAUACAAUACUCUUGACCACAUUGUUUGGUUUGAUAGUUUAUUCAUGUCUACUAUCCAAUGUGAUUCUCUUACAUAUAUGAUUACCUUGAAUGUGAUUUGGAAUGACUUCCUAAAUCUCAUUCAUACUCUGGCCAGAGAUUCUUAAUCAUAUCAUAGAGUAUUCUCCCUCAAAUGGUUUGAAGGUUAGAGAUCCCUUAUUGCACAUUCACUUGUCUCCAUGACUAAGUGGCUUAACCCCAAUUAUGUCGUAGACACCCUCUGAUGGAGUGACUUUCACAUAGUCAAAGAUAAAAGACCUAACCACAAGACAACUAUGAUACCUUAGGUCAAAGGACUACUUUGCAUUGUCCAACCAUGAGUUCUCAUGUGACAUGAGUAUGAGAACUCCUUGUUGAUCGUGUUCAGUGGACUCAUUCUCUAUUGAGCACCUACAUGCUUGUCUUGGUGUUAGUCACACCAAUGACUUGAGACCAGUCACUUUCCCUAAGAGAAGACGUAACACGUACUGAUCUUAACGGACUAUCGAUGCCCAAUUGGCAAUCCUAUGAUCAGGAACGUUUAGAAUAUGUAUACGAAAGAGAAUGGUCUCAUGAAUCUAACUUCUUUAGAUCACAUUCUCCGAAUUACAUAUUCCUUGAACUUAUCGUUUAAGUAUAUAACAUUUAUAUGAGACAACUUCAAACAAUAAUCUUGUCCCUUUGUAUUAAACUAGAUUAGUUUAACAUGCGAAAUGUCUGUAAAGUAUCAUCAUAUGAUUGGUUUUAGGGCAUAUUUCCAAC
This 2663-nucleotide long non-coding RNA is filed under the name Malus domestica (apple). RNAcentral describes it as "long non-coding RNA (MDOM_LNC000292)". The record is from RNAcentral. Lineage: Eukaryota; Viridiplantae; Streptophyta; Magnoliopsida; Rosales; Rosaceae.